RNAcentral lists this unclassified non-coding RNA (200 nucleotides) under soil metagenome. Its description in RNAcentral is "partial contains internal transcribed spacer 2 and large subunit ribosomal RNA". The record is from RNAcentral.
UGUUUGGAUGUGGGGGUUUGCUGGCCUCUUUAAAAAGGAUUUUAGCUCCCCUGAAAUGCAUUAGCAGAAACAACCCUGUUCAUCGGUGUGAUAACUAUCUACGCUAUUGAAUGUGAAGGGCGGUUUGGCUUUCUAACGGUCCUUGGACAGCUCAUCAUUAAUGUGACCUCAAAUCAGGUAGGACUACCCGCUGAACUUAA